UACGGAGGGUGCAAGCGUUAAUCGGAAUUACUGGGCGUAAAGCGCGCGUAGGCGGUUUGGUCAGUCAGAUGUGAAAGCCCCGGGCUCAACCUGGGAAUUGCAUUUGAUACUGCUAAACUAGAAUGUGGUAGAGGGAAGUGGAAUUCCAGGUGUAGCGGUGAAAUGCGUAGAGAUCUGGAGGGACAUCAGUGGCGAAGGCGGCUUCCUGGACCAACAUUGACGCUGAGGUGCGAAAGCGUGGGUAGCAAACAGG
Molecule: ribosomal RNA, 253 nt
Filed under: uncultured bacterium
Lineage: Bacteria
Description: partial 16S ribosomal RNA
Rfam family: Bacterial small subunit ribosomal RNA
Source: RNAcentral